GCGCAGCAGGCGCGAAACUUUACAAUGUGCGAAGCACGAUAAGGGAACUCUGAGUGCCUCCUAAGGAGGCUGUUCUGAUGUCUAAAAGCAACAGAAGUAAGGGCUGGGUAAGACCGGUGCCAGCCGCCGCGGUAACACCGGCAGCCCAAGUGGUAGCCACGUUUAUUGGGUCUAAAAGCGUUCGUAGCCGGCCAGGUAAGUUCCUUGGUAAAUUUAGCCGCUUAACGGUUAAGCUUUCGAGGGAAUACUGCUUGGCUUGGGACUGGGAGAGGUCAGGAGGUACUCCGGGGGUAGGGUGAAAUCUAUUAAUCCCUGGGGACCACCGGUAGCGAAGGCGUCUGACCAGACCAGGUCCGACGGUGAGGGACGAAGGCUAGGGGCGCGAACCGGAUUAGAUACCCGUGUAGU
RNAcentral lists this ribosomal RNA (408 nucleotides) under uncultured microorganism. RNAcentral's name for it is "bacterial SSU rRNA". It matches the Rfam family "Archaeal small subunit ribosomal RNA", at positions 330 to 745 of the family's 1478-position model. The record is from RNAcentral.